This 70-nucleotide transfer RNA is filed under the name Isonychia sp. XL-2019. Its description in RNAcentral is "tRNA-Val". Lineage: Eukaryota; Metazoa; Arthropoda; Insecta; Ephemeroptera; Isonychiidae. The record is from RNAcentral.
CAGAAUAGAGCUUGAUAGUUAAGCCUUCCACUUACACUGGAAUGAAGCCGUGCAAAUCGGCGUAUUCUGA